AAACGUUGAGACAAAUCACCGCGGAGUACAUUUCAGAUCAUGUGUGCAUGGAUUUUCUUCUAUAAAGCGAAUCACUAGCAUAAGUAUAAACUUUUAUAUCUACAUCGGGACUAAGUUUUUAAAACGCGCACCUCCGUCAAACUUGUAGGCGAUAUGAUAUUAACUACUGAAACGUAAUCUUUAUAAGGACAAACACAAGAACGUCAACUUCCAAGGAGACAGGGAGAUUUAUUAAGCAUUAGAAGUGAAGUAAAGUUCCAAGGCGACUGGAAUAUACAGUUUUAUUAAGUAUAAUCAAAACGGGCACCUAUUUUUAAUUUGAAUUAGUCAGGUGAUAUAAACUGUCGACCCUCUACAAAGUAACAGCGUUCAUUAUCAAUGAAAUAAAAGAAAAUUGCUGAAACGACAAAUUAACAAAAGAUUGGCAGACGAAAGAGCGAUUGUGAGAAAGAAGAAAUAAACUAAUUAAUAUAAUAUGAUGGGAAGCGCGAGAGCCUUAUACAUAUCCAAGACAUUGUUUCUAGUUUUAGUUUUAUUGACGAACUAUAGCAGUGGUUAUUAUAUUAGACAACAGUCUUUUGUUACAGGUA
Molecule: long non-coding RNA, 590 nt
Filed under: Mytilus galloprovincialis (Mediterranean mussel)
Lineage: Eukaryota; Metazoa; Mollusca; Bivalvia; Mytilida; Mytilidae
Source: RNAcentral